Molecule: ribosomal RNA, 253 nt
Filed under: uncultured bacterium
Lineage: Bacteria
Description: partial 16S ribosomal RNA
Rfam family: Bacterial small subunit ribosomal RNA
Source: RNAcentral
UACGUAGGGUGCAAGCGUUAAUCGGAAUUACUGGGCGUAAAGCGUUCGCAGGCGGUUGUGCAAGUCAGAUGUGAAAUCCCCGGGCUCAACCUGGGAACUGCAUUUGUGACUGCACGGCUAGAGUGCGGCAGAGGGAGAUGGAAUUCCGCGUGUAGCAGUGAAAUGCGUAGAUAUGCGGAGGAACACCGAUGGCGAAGGCAAUCUCCUGGGCCUGCACUGACGCUCAUGCACGAAAGCGUGGGGAGCAAACAGG